Molecule: ribosomal RNA, 245 nt
Filed under: uncultured Lactobacillus sp.
Lineage: Bacteria; Bacillati; Bacillota; Bacilli; Lactobacillales; Lactobacillaceae
Description: partial 16S ribosomal RNA
Rfam family: Bacterial small subunit ribosomal RNA
Source: RNAcentral
UGGGGAACCUGCCCCAUAGUCUGGGAUACCACUUGGAAACAGGUGCUAAUACCGGAUAAGAAAGCAGAUCGCAUGAUCAGCUUUUAAAAGGCGGCGUAAGCUGUCGCUAUGGGAUGGCCCCGCGGUGCAUUAGCUAGUUGGUAAGGUAAAGGCUUACCAAGGCGAUGAUGCAUAGCCGAGUUGAGAGACUGAUCGGCCACAUUGGGACUGAGACACGGCCCAAACUCCUACGGGAGGCAGCAGGC